Molecule: transfer RNA, 69 nt
Filed under: Cleroidea sp. 5 KM-2017
Lineage: Eukaryota; Metazoa; Arthropoda; Insecta; Coleoptera
Description: tRNA-Val
Source: RNAcentral
CAAGUUAGAGCUUGUAUUAAGUAUUUUACUUACACUAAGAUGAAAAUUGUGAAAUUCAAUUUAAUUUGA